UGAAGCUUAGAAAUGAGGUCGUGGUC
This 26-nucleotide non-coding RNA is filed under the name Homo sapiens (human). The record is from RNAcentral. Lineage: Eukaryota; Metazoa; Chordata; Mammalia; Primates; Hominidae.